GUUCAUUGCCAGUUGCCAAACGAAUCGACUCCAAUGAGGGGGGCAAACUUCUCCAUCUCUUUGACUCCAUGCUUUAUCCCCUUCUCCCCAAAACCCUGCCACCCCACAAAACCCUUCGCUAACACUUUCGAAACCCUCGCCAUGGCGAAAUCUGUGGAUGAGUCCGACGUCGGCAUCUAUUGCUACGUCUCUUCCCUGCCCGGCUUCCGGGCUGUUCUUAAGCAGAGGUACUCGGAUUUCAUCGUUAAUGAGGUGGAUCUCGACGGGAACAUUGUUCGCUUAACCUCCUUUGAUUUGCCGCCUAAGUGUUCUAAAGAGGAGGAAAGAAAAGCUUCUUCGGAUCAAAAGUGCUUCACAGAUGAGAUUGAAUUAUUUCAAACCCUUGCUGGAGAAGCUAAUGCUAAACUGUUGAAGGAAUUCCUUGAAAAGGUUGCAUCCACUGUGGGUGAUGAGUUGCCCCCCAUUGUUCUUGCUCCAGACUCUGAUAAGUCCCACCGUACUGAGGUUCAUAAUUUCUUCAAGACAAAUUUCAAAUUCCUUGUAACAGAUACAGUGGAUGGAGAGGAUGGCAAUUCCAAGUGCGUUAGGAUUAGAUUCUCUUCUGGUAAAGGUGUAAAGGGUAGGGGAGGGAGGAAGAGGAAAGAUAUGGAGAAUUCAGGAAGGAAAAAUGACAUUCCUUUUGAUAGCAGGGGUACAGAUAAUUGGCCUGAGGAGCGAGGCAAGUUCCUACGGUUUAAUCUUUACAAGGAGAAUAAAGACACCCACGAGGCUUUGGGGGUCAUAGGGAAGAUGCUAGGUAUCCAGCAACGCUCGUUUGGAUUUGCUGGCACUAAAGAUAAACGCGCCAUAACAACUCAAAGGGUGACUGUAUUUAAGCUGCAUCCAGAAAGGUUAGCUGCUCUCAAUUGCAGAUUGUUUGGCAUUAAAGUUGGAGACUUUUGUUUUUUGAAGAAAGGACUUCUUCUUGGUCAGCUACUAGGAAAUAGGUUUACAAUUACUUUGAGAGGUGUUGUUGCAGCUUCAGUAGAUACUAUAAACGCAGCUGCUGAUGGUUUAGGAAGGAGUGGUUUUAUCAAUUAUUAUGGUCUGCAGCGGUUUGGGAGUGGUUCAGUGCCAACUCAUUCAAUUGGAGCUGCUCUCCUUCGUGGAGAGUGGAAGACUGCUGUAGAUUUGAUACUUGAUCCAAGGGACGGGGAAAGAGCUGACAUUAAAGAGGCGCGGAAGAAGUACAAGAAAACUGGUAAUGCUGAUUUGGUGUUAAGUCAACUACCUCGUUAUUUGGUUGCUGAGAGAGCUAUUAUACAGUGUUUAAAAAAUUGCCCGGGCAACUAUUUGCAGGCUCUGCAGGGAAUACCUAGGACACUUAGACUAAUGUAUGUGCAUAGUUAUCAAAGUUAUUUGUGGAACCAUGCUGCGAGUAUGAGAGUACGAAAACAUGGUACUGCACAGGUUGUGGUUGGAGAUUUGGUCUUUUGCAAGGGUCCUAUUUCUGAGAAAGUUGCUUCUUUUGAGAGCGUUGAACCAAUAUAUGAAUAUCAUGAUGGAGAGGGCAAUAAUAGUUUACUUGAUAUAUCUGAUGUCGCACUUCCUGAGGAAAAGAUUCAGCUUGUUAAGACUAUAAAUUCUGAUGAUCUGAUUAGUGGUGGUUAUACAUUUGAAGACGUUGUACUUCCUUUGCCCGGAUCAAGGACUAUAUAUCCGGGCAAUGAUAUAGCUGGAAUUUAUCAUGAUAUAUCUAAGAAGGAUGGUGUAAGCUUGACAGAAAGUGUUCAUGGUGUUAAGGAAUUCUCUAUUACUAGCAUGACGGGAGAUUAUAGGCGUGUUUUUCAGCGUCCUAUAGAUUAUACUUGGGAGUUGCUAACUUAUACAGAUAACAAUGAAUCCUUGGCAAAAACAGAUAUGGAUAUCUUGGUUGGGUCAAAGAACACUGAUUUGGUGACAAACAAGAGUUCUAUUAAUACAAGUCCGGAUGACAAAGACUCUCUGCAGACUAGAAAACGUGGUGGUUCUGAUUGUUUUAUGUCUGAGGAUCAAAAUGGGGUGACUGCACCAGCGGAGUGUGAUUAUUCUGAUCCAAAGGUGGCCUUGAAGUUGGGCUUUACUCUUCCUGCUUCAUGUUAUGCCACAAUGGCCAUCAGAGAGCUACUUAAGUCAUCAACUUUGGUACAGAAGACAGUGAACACCUGAGGAUUUCCUACGUCAUUCCUUCAUAUUUAUGUUUGUAAAAAACUAAAAUGUUUCUAAUUAAUGAUUGAUUGGAAAAUAAUCCAGUUGCAAGGUAUGUGCUUGAUGGCUCUUUGACCGGCAAAGAUUGUGGUUGUCUGAUUGUGGAGUUUUUUCGCCAUAGAUUUAUGAAGAUACACUACUUGUUCACCUGAGAAUUCGAACUUGAAUUAUUUGGAAGGUUUUUUUUUUUUUUUUUAAGAUUUUUAAUUAAUCAACUGUUUCUUCCUUAAAAACAUAAACCUUGAAAGGAGCCACCUGUAUCUUUACCCUUGAAAAAUGAAUUCAAAUGAAAACUAGCCGUUAGAAUAUCUCCCUCGAACAUUCUUUUUGUCUUUCAUUGAUCCAGCGUUGUACUUCGAAAACCCUCUUAUUAUGGUGAAAUUAUUACAUGCAUAUUUCACAGUUUUA
RNA transcript from Dendrobium catenatum, 2634 nucleotides. It is a transcript of the gene named multisubstrate pseudouridine synthase 7, with no coding region annotated. The transcript is spliced from 21 exons. The record is from RefSeq and is a predicted model, not a curated record. Lineage: Eukaryota; Viridiplantae; Streptophyta; Magnoliopsida; Asparagales; Orchidaceae.